UCCCUAGUGGCUCAGGUAAAGAAUCUGCCUGCAAUGCAGGAGACCUGGGUUCGAUCCCUAGGUUGGGAA
Molecule: non-coding RNA, 69 nt
Organism: Bos taurus (domestic cattle)
Lineage: Eukaryota; Metazoa; Chordata; Mammalia; Artiodactyla; Bovidae
Source: Rfam